Pezoporus occidentalis (night parrot) is the source of this 795-nucleotide long non-coding RNA. RefSeq lists it as uncharacterized. The transcript has 2 exons. NCBI's taxonomy places the organism in Eukaryota, Metazoa, Chordata, Aves, Psittaciformes, Psittacidae. The record is from RefSeq and is a predicted model, not a curated record.
GGAAGUCAGGCUUAAUUAGAGCUUUUGAAAGCUCAAGAGUUAAUACCUGCCCAUUAAACCUAACCACCAAUGAUUUGCUGUUCAUUUGCUGGCAAUAAGGGGCUGCGCUCACAGGCAUGGCGACUGGGAUGUGGGGCUGUAUUAGUGGGAACCAUCAUGGGAGGAAGGACCAUGGGUAUGGCUCCAUGCCCAGCUUGGGAGGGUAGGCAGAGGCCAGGGAAAGAAGGAGCAGAUGUUUGACCUUUUGGAGGCUUGGAGAAAAGUCUGCAGUUCAGAAACACUAGGAGGGUUGGAAAAUAUUUCAUCUGGUAAAAGUGAAGAGUCUAAGGGAAUGCUUUCUGUGAGGUGUCAUGUUCAUCAGCUCUUUUAAAGGUGAAAACGAUGAUUGGCAUCAAUCGGUUGUUAGCAUGAACUCCAUGAACACAGUGGGCUUGAUGAAGAAAUUAAGCAGAUCUUGUAUUCUCUCUCUUUUCUGCAGUGAGAGAGGAUUUGGGUCACUAAAGUCUCCUUUUCCUGACUUAUCCUGCUUUUAAAUUAACUUGCCUCAGUUUCCCUUCCUGUAGGCUUCUUCCACAUUGUGGUGCUUUGGAGUUGCCGUCAGUCAAACAACAGUGAUCUCCUGAGGAAAGGUGCUGUGUAAAUUUAGGACAAGUCACGCAUUUAAAGAUUCAGACUUUUCUAUGUGUAGGAGUAUUCAAAUCCAAGAUUUCAUUUUGUCUCAUUGCAGAAAAUAGUGCCAAGCGCAAUGUUUGAUUCCAAAUCAUGAUACAAAUAGCUCAAAUUUGGUGAAAAUAA